GUCCACGCCGUAAACUAUGGGUGCUAGCCGUUGGGAAGCUUGCUUUUCAGUGGCGCAGCUAACGCAUUAAGCACCCCGCCUGGGGAGUACGGUCGCAAGAUUAAAACUCAAAGGAAUUGACGGGGGCCCCGGCACAAGCGGUGGAGCAUGUGGUUUAAUUCGAAGCAACGCGCAGAACCUUACCUACCCUUGACAUGUCUAGUAUGGGCACCGGAGACGGAGUCCUUCAGUUCGGCUGGCUAGAACACAGGUGCUGCAUGGCUGUCGU
RNAcentral lists this ribosomal RNA (268 nucleotides) under uncultured bacterium. RNAcentral's name for it is "partial 16S ribosomal RNA". It matches the Rfam family "Bacterial small subunit ribosomal RNA", at positions 793 to 1055 of the family's 1533-position model. The record is from RNAcentral.